This 446-nucleotide ribosomal RNA is filed under the name uncultured bacterium. RNAcentral's name for it is "bacterial SSU rRNA". It matches the Rfam family "Bacterial small subunit ribosomal RNA", at positions 25 to 507 of the family's 1533-position model. The record is from RNAcentral.
CAGGAUGAACGCUGGCGGCGUGCCUAAUACAUGCAAGUCGUGCGGAAAGGCCACGUUCGGUGGUACUCGAGCGGCGGACGGCAGAGUAACGCGUAGGAACAUACCCCAAACUGAGGGAUAACUGCUCGAAAGAGUAGCUAAUACCGCAUGUGAUCUUCGGAUUAAAGCUUCGGCGGUUUGGGAAUGGCCUGCGUCCGAUUAGCUUGUUGGUGAGGUAAUAGCUCACCAAGGCGACGAUCGGUAGCUGGUCUGAGAGGAUGAUCAGCCUGACUGGAACUGAGAACGGUCCAGACUCCUACGGGAGGCAGCAGUAGGGAAUUUUCCACAAUGGGCGAAAGCCUGAUGGAGCAACGCCGCGUGCAGGAUGAAUGCCUUCGGGUUGUAAACUGUCUUUAUUAGUGAAGAAUAUGACGGUAACUAAUGAAUAAGGGUCGGCUAACUACGUG